Molecule: ribosomal RNA, 468 nt
Filed under: uncultured bacterium
Lineage: Bacteria
Description: partial 16S ribosomal RNA
Rfam family: Bacterial small subunit ribosomal RNA
Source: RNAcentral
GACGAACGCUGGCGGCGUGCUUAACACAUGCAAGUCGAACGGACAGCCUCUGCCGUUGUGGGGUGCCCGGGUGGCGAACGGUUACGUAACACGUGAGUAACUUCCCCUUACCCUUCGGAAAACUUGAGAAAACUGGGUGUGAUACCCGCUCCGAGCUCCCGCUGCAAGGCUUGGGUUGGUAGGUUUCGGCGGUGGGGGCAGGAGCUGCAGGUUAGCAGCUUGGCGGUGGGGUAGAGGCAUAGCAAGCCUUUGACGGGUAGUCGGCGUGCGAGGGUGACCGGCGACAUUGGAAAUGAGAUACGGCCCAAAGGGCUGCAGGAGGCAGCAGUGGGGAAUAAUGCACAAUGGGCUGAGGCCUGAUGCAGCAACGCCGCGUGCGGGAUGACGGCUUGCGAGUUGUAAACCCCGGUCGCAAGGGACGAGGCGUGAGUGACGGUAAUGUGUAAAGAAGCACCGGCUAACUACGUG